RNAcentral lists this ribosomal RNA (266 nucleotides) under uncultured bacterium. Its description in RNAcentral is "partial 16S ribosomal RNA". It matches the Rfam family "Bacterial small subunit ribosomal RNA", at positions 796 to 1041 of the family's 1533-position model. The record is from RNAcentral.
CUGGCUGUAAAUGAUGGAUACUCGGUGUUGGUGGAUUAUGCCCAUCAGCGCCCAAGCCAACGCGUUAAGUAUCCCGCCUGGGGAAUACGGCCGCAAGGCUAAAACCCAAAGGAUUUGACGGGGGCCCGCACAAGCAGCGGAGCGUGCGGUUCAAUCCGAUGCAACACGUAGAACCUUACCAGGGCUUGACAUGCUAGUGGUAGCAAGGCGAAAGCCAAGUGACCCGUGGGCAUCUUGCGAUGCACAUAGGGAGCUAGCACAGGUGC